Molecule: long non-coding RNA, 428 nt
Filed under: Mytilus galloprovincialis (Mediterranean mussel)
Lineage: Eukaryota; Metazoa; Mollusca; Bivalvia; Mytilida; Mytilidae
Source: RNAcentral
UUUUUUACAUUUUAAUAUUUUAUGAUGUAUUUAAAUGAGCAGUUAUUGUUGCAAACUCCGUUAGAAAUUUGAAUUGAGAUCAGUUUUGGAAUAAGGAAAAGGGGGAUGUGAAAACAAAAUUGGGGGGGGGGGGGGUCAAUUUUUCUCAUUUCAUAUUUCAUAAAUAAAAAGAAAAUUUCUUCAAACAUUUUUUUGAGAGGAUUAAUAUUCAACAGCAUAGCGAAUUUUUUUUUUUUAAGUUCAUUAGACCACAUUCAUUCUGUGUCACCAACCUAUGCUGUGUCAACUAUUUAAUUACAAUCCAAAUUUAGAGCUGAAUCCAGCUUGAAUGUUGUGUCCAUACUUUCCCCAACCAUUCAGGGUUCAACCUCUGCGGUCGUAUAAAGCUGCGCCCUGCGGAGCAUCUGGUUAUAUUUUAUGAUGUAUUU